UCUAUGUUUCUCUCUUUGCUCUUUUGGAUCAAUAACUAGAAUCUCAGUUGGAGGAAAUGUUGGGUUAUCCAUAAAUUGCUGCAGUGUUCAAGGGAGUAACGGGGGCUCCGGUCAACAAAAUGAACAGCUGUAUAGAGUUGGGUGUCAUCUGCAAAUAGGUUUUAGUAGUUGUAAGUAUUCCUCUCUGCCAUCUCUCCAUAUUUCUUCCGCUCUCUCCAGUCUUUAUCAAGAAAAAAAAACAGCAUAUGUUUUUUUCGAAACAAAGCUGCUCUUUGCAUGCUACACUGAUUCAUAAACCCGACCACUAUUAUGAUUCACUGAACAUCAAACUGAAGAUCGUGUUUGACUGUGAAGUACGAGAAAACAUUUUCCCCUGGUUUAUUAAUCUCACAGCUGCUCGAUGGGGGAAUUUCCCCGCAUCUCUCAUUUCACAACAUGAGUGUCUCCAGUCCUCUCCUCUUUUCAAUAAUGACAAACGAGAUAUGGAGGGCUGAGAGAGGCCGCGGACCUCAGGUUCCAGCCCCCAACAACCAGUCACUCUGGGCUCUCGCUCUGACUGCAGGGAUGAGGGUUUUUAUUAGCCAGCAUGAGGUUCUGACUGUUUUGGCAAUGCCCGGGAUGACUCGGAGCAGAGAAGCUAGACUGGAGGAGGAUUCAUGGCUUUGUUAAGGGCAAAGGAAAAGUUAGACAUUUUGGUUAAUACACGCCUGCAGGAUGGUGUGGUUGCUGCAUAUACAGUAAGCAAAGCUACACCUUCUUAUUAUCUCAUGUUAUGUGCAGGUCUUCAGUCACUUACACACUAAGGUAUAUACUAUAAAAUAAUGCAGAGACAUAAUAGAGACAAGUCUGUUUGACUGAACAACUCUUUUAGGACAAACACAUUUUAAGCAGAUUUGGUGGCAUUUCUGCAAACCAGACACACAAUAUAGAGAGGAGGUGACAGUGAUACAAAGGUCACAAUAACCCCCCCCCCACACACCCAAAGCAACACACUCAGCAUUUGUGGGAUUUACACACAGGAGUCAAAUGUUUCCACAGGAAGUCUUUUGUUGAAACAAGUCAGACCAGAUGCACAUGUUAACUUCAUGAGGGAAACCUGCACUGACUCUUGAUGAACCUAACCAGGAAUUUUGCCGCAGCGUAACCAGACAGAUCUUACAGACAUAGAUAGCUCUUUUAAGUCACCAAUCAGGAUAUUUCCUGUAUAUCUAAUUUGCAUUUUACUUUUAUGGUAUUCUAAAUAAACACACAAUCUUCUCAGUUACUACCAAAUUUCAAUUUGCUGCAAAUAACAAUUUCAAUAUUCUCAAGACCCAAAAUAGGAUAAAUGCACAAUUAAUUACAUAAUUAAGAGGAUAACAGUUUGGUUUCAGAAGGAUCAUCACUAUUCAUUUUUAUGGUGUGACCUUUUGGUUCCAGAGACCAGCAUCCUGUAUCUAACCAACAUUGCUACGUAACUACCAAGACUGUAUCAGUGCAUUAUUCUUAAAAAGGUCAGUGUUUCAGGUCAAUAUGUGUUUUUAAACUUCAUGGAUACAUACACAGAUAUAACUUACAUUCUCCUCUAUUAUGCAAAUUAUUCAUAGAUACAGCAAAUUAAGAAGGUGGUCAAGUUCAGGAGGCAUUAUAGUUUUCA
Sander lucioperca (pikeperch) is the source of this 1636-nucleotide long non-coding RNA. RefSeq lists it as uncharacterized. NCBI's taxonomy places the organism in Eukaryota, Metazoa, Chordata, Actinopteri, Perciformes, Percidae. The transcript has 2 exons. The record is from RefSeq and is a predicted model, not a curated record.